UGUCACGAAGGAUGGCUUACACAGUGA
RNAcentral lists this small RNA (27 nucleotides) under Bombyx mori (domestic silkworm). RNAcentral describes it as "ovarian small RNA-8973". Lineage: Eukaryota; Metazoa; Arthropoda; Insecta; Lepidoptera; Bombycidae. The record is from RNAcentral.